RNAcentral lists this ribosomal RNA (542 nucleotides) under Verrucomicrobia bacterium MS-M-79. RNAcentral's name for it is "bacterial SSU rRNA". It matches the Rfam family "Bacterial small subunit ribosomal RNA", at positions 116 to 659 of the family's 1533-position model. The record is from RNAcentral. Lineage: Bacteria; Pseudomonadati; Verrucomicrobiota.
CGUGAACAACAUGCCCUUGAGUGGGGGAUAGCCCGCCGAAAGGUGGAUUAAUACCCCAUGGUACCCUCGGGUUAAAGGUGGCUUCGGCUGCCGCUUAAGGAUUGGUUCGCGCCCUAUCAGCUUGUUGGUGAGGUAAUAGCUCACCAAGGCUACGACGGGUACCUGGUUUGAGAGGACGAUCAGGCACACUGGAACUGAGACACGGUCCAGACACCUACGGGUGGCAGCAGUCGAGAAUAAUUCACAAUGGACGAAAGUCUGAUGGUGCAACGCCGCGUGGAGGAUGACGGUCCUAGGACUGUAAACUCCUGUCAUCAGGGAGUAAGACCUGGAGGUUAAUAGCCUACAGGGUUGAUAGUACCUGAAGAGGAAGGGACGGCUUACUUCGUGCCAGCAGCCGCGGUAAUACGAAGGUCCCAAGCGUUGUUCGGAAUCACUGGGCGUAAAGGGAGCGUAGGCUGUACGGUAAGUCAGAUGUGAAAUCCCGGGGCUCAACCCCGGAACUGCAUCCGAUACUGCCGUACUAGAGGAUUGGAGAGGUA